RNAcentral lists this ribosomal RNA (420 nucleotides) under uncultured archaeon. RNAcentral's name for it is "partial 16S ribosomal RNA". It matches the Rfam family "Archaeal small subunit ribosomal RNA", at positions 323 to 746 of the family's 1478-position model. The record is from RNAcentral.
CUACGGGGCGCUGCAGGCGCGUAACCUCUACAAUGCACGAAAGUGUGAUAGGGGGAUCCUGAGUGCUCAGCUCUGCUGGGCUUUUGCCAAGAGUAAAAACCUUGGCGAAUAAGCGGUGGGUAAGACUGGUGCCAGCCGCCGCGGUAACACCAGCGCCGCAAGUGGUAAUCGCUAUUAUUGGGCCUAAAGCGUCCGUAGCAGGUUUUGUAAAUCUUAUGUGAAAUUGUUGCGCUUAACGUAACAACGUGCAUGAGACACUGCAAAACUUGGGACCGGGAGGAGUCAAAGGUAUUCCUUGGGGAGCGGUAAAAUGCUAUAAUCCAAGGAGGACCACCUAUGGCGAAGGCAUUUGACUAGAACGGAUCCGACUGUGAGGGACGAAAGCCAGGGGAGCGAACCGGAUUAGAUACCCCCGUAGUC